GUGCAAUGCUGUCCACUGUUAUGAUGGACUCGCGUCUCGGUCGUUUGAUGGAUGCAUCGAAUGAUGGAGUGAUUUCUUCGAGCAGUUCCUUGAAGGAUCUCAGCUGGUUGCCAUAAAUCUAUAGAGGCCGUUUGUUGGCUGAAAAGCAACGAUGACAGCUAGGACUCUACAUUUCUACUAAAUUAUGGACAAAAACAUUUCACAGAAAAAUCUAACAAAUUUGACAGAAGAUCCCAUUGAAUUUCUAUUCUUUUCUUUUAGUUUCAACGGAGAAAUUCCUAUGCAUAUAUUUAUGGGAAUUUAUCCAAGUUCAUUUGCCAAUUUUUCAAAUGAAUCAAGAAAAAUGUGGUGAAAAAUGUUUCAAUAAAGGUAAUGGAAUUUUCAGUGACAAUUCAGGUUUCUGUAAAAUUAUUUCGCACGUUGUUUUCUACUUAUUGCUAGUAACAGUGUGGUAAUAAUAACCGUAGGAUAAAUUAAUAAACGUGAUGUAUUUUUUAGCAUAAAAAAGUUGUAAGUUGUUUUAAUAAAUAAUUAUAUCGUGA
Diachasmimorpha longicaudata is the source of this 542-nucleotide long non-coding RNA. RefSeq lists it as uncharacterized. NCBI's taxonomy places the organism in Eukaryota, Metazoa, Arthropoda, Insecta, Hymenoptera, Braconidae. The transcript is spliced from 2 exons. The record is from RefSeq and is a predicted model, not a curated record.